AAUCAACGCUGGCGGCGUGCCUCAGACAUGCAAGUCGAACGAUUAAAGCUCUCUUCGGAGAGUGUAUAGAGUGGCGCACGGGUGAGUAACACGUAAGUAAUCUACCUUUGAGUGGGGAAUAACAAUCGGAAACGAUUGCUAAUACCGCAUAAUGCAGCGGCAUCGCAAGAUGACAGUUGUUAAAGGAGCAAUCCGCUUAAAGAGGAGCUUGCGGCAGAUUAGCUAGUUGGUAAGGUAAUGGCUUACCAAGGCUACGAUCUGUAACCGGUCUAAGAGGACGGUCGGUCACACUGACACUGAAUAACGGGUCAGACUCCUACGGGAGGCAGCAGUCGGGAAUUUUGGGCAAUGGGCGAAAGCCUGACCCAGCAACGCCGCGUGAAGGAUGAAGUAUUUCGGUAUGUAAACUUCGAAAGAAUGGGAAGAAUCAAUGACGGUACCAUUUAUAAGGUCCGGCUAACU
Molecule: ribosomal RNA, 462 nt
Filed under: uncultured bacterium
Lineage: Bacteria
Description: bacterial SSU rRNA
Rfam family: Bacterial small subunit ribosomal RNA
Source: RNAcentral